GACGAACGCUGGCGGCGUGCUUAACACAUGCAAGUCGAACGGAAAGGCCCUGCUUUUGUGGGGUGCUCGAGUGGCGAACGGGUGAGUAACACGUGAGUAACCUGCCCUUGACUUUGGGAUAACUUCAGGAAACUGGGGCUAAUACCGGAUAGGAGCUCCUGCUGCAUGGUGGGGGUUGGAAAGUUUCGGCGGUUGGGGAUGGACUCGCGGCUUAUCAGUUUGUUGGUGGGGUAGUGGCUUACCAAGGCUUUGACGGGUAGCCGGCCUGAGAGGGUGACCGGCCACAUUGGGACUGAGAUACGGCCCAGACUCCUACGGGAGGCAGCAGUGGGGAAUAUUGCACAAUGGGCGGAAGCCUGAUGCAGCAACGCCGCGUGCGGGAUGACGGCCUUCGGGUUGUAAACCGCUUUCGCCUGUGACGAAGCGUGAGUGACGGUAAUGGGUAAAGAAGCACCGGCUAACUACGUGCCAGCAGCCGCGGUGAUACGUAGGGUGCGAGCGUUGUCCGGAUUUAUUGGGCGUAAAGGGCUCGUAGGUGGUUGAUCGCGUCGGAAGUGUAAUCUUGGGGCUUAACCCUGAGCGUGCUUUCGAUACGGGUUGACUUGAGGAAGGUAGGGGAGAAUGGAAUUCCUGGUGGAGCGGUGGAAUGCGCAGAUAUCAGGAGGAACACCAGUGGCGAAGGCGGUUCUCUGGGCCUUUCCUGACGCUGAGGAGCGAAAGCGUGGGGAGCGAACAGGCUUAGAUACCCUGGUAGUCCACGCUGUAAACGGUGGGUACUAGGUGUGGGGUCCAUUCCACGGGUUCCGUGCCGUAGCUAACGCUUUAAGUACCCCGCCUGGGGAGUACGGCCGCAAGGCUAAAACUCAAAGGAAUUGACGGGGCCCCGCACAAGCGGCGGAGCAUGCGGAUUAAUUCGAUGCAACGCGUAGAACCUUACCUGGGUUUGACAUGGAUCGGGAGCGCUCAGAGAUGGGUGUGCCUCUUUUGGGGUCGGUUCACAGGUGGUGCAUGGCUGUCGUCAGCUCGUGUCGUGAGAUGUUGGGUUAAGUCCCGCAACGAGCGCAACCCUUGUUCACUGUUGCCAGCACGUUAUGGUGGGGACUCAGUGGAGACCGCCGGGGUCAACUCGGAGGAAGGUGGGGAUGACGUCAAGUCAUCAUGCCCCUUAUGUCCAGGGCUUCACGCAUGCUACAAUGGCUGGUACAGAGAGUGGCGAGCCUGUGAGGGUGAGCGAAUCUCGGAAAGCCGGUCUCAGUUCGGAUUGGGGUCUGCAACUCGACCUCAUGAAGUCGGAGUCGCUAGUAAUCGCAGAUCAGCAACGCUGCGGUGAAUACGUUCCUGGG
This 1343-nucleotide ribosomal RNA is filed under the name uncultured bacterium. RNAcentral's name for it is "16S ribosomal RNA". It matches the Rfam family "Bacterial small subunit ribosomal RNA", at positions 28 to 1378 of the family's 1533-position model. The record is from RNAcentral.